AUUUAUAUAGUUUAUAAAAACAUUAUAUUUUCAAUAUAAAAAAAAUGAAUUCAUUUGUAAAUA
RNAcentral lists this transfer RNA (63 nucleotides) under Neohydatothrips samayunkur. RNAcentral describes it as "tRNA-Glu". The record is from RNAcentral. Lineage: Eukaryota; Metazoa; Arthropoda; Insecta; Thysanoptera; Thripidae.